UAGGGAAUCUUCCGCAAUGGACGCAAGUCUGACGGAGCAACGCCGCGUGAGUGAAGAAGGAUUUCGGUUCGUAAAACUCUGUUGUUAGAGAUGAACAGCGCAUAGAGUAACUGUUAUGCGUGUGACGGUAUCUAACCAGAAAGCCACGGCUAACUACGUGCCAGCAUCCGCGGUAAUACGUAGGUGGCAAGCGUUGUCCGGAUUUAUUGGGCGUAAAGCGAGCGCAGGCGGUCAAUAAAGUCUGAUGUGAAAGCCCCCGGCUCAACCGGGGGGGGUCAUUGGAAACUGGUUGACGUGAGUGCAGAAGAGGAGAGUGGAAUUCCAUGUGUAGCGGUGAAAUGCGUAGAUAUAAGGAGGAACACCAGUGGCGAAGGCGACUCUCUGGUCUGUAACUGACGCUGAGGCUCGAAAGCGUGGGUAGCAAACAGG
RNAcentral lists this ribosomal RNA (429 nucleotides) under Bacteroidota bacterium. RNAcentral describes it as "Bacteroidetes bacterium partial 16S ribosomal RNA". It matches the Rfam family "Bacterial small subunit ribosomal RNA", at positions 355 to 776 of the family's 1533-position model. The record is from RNAcentral. Lineage: Bacteria; Pseudomonadati; Bacteroidota.